Molecule: ribosomal RNA, 317 nt
Filed under: bacterium Fuku2-ISO-56
Lineage: Bacteria
Description: bacterial SSU rRNA
Rfam family: Bacterial small subunit ribosomal RNA
Source: RNAcentral
UAAGCCCCGGCUAACUUCGUGCCAGCAGCCGCGGUAAUACGAAGGGGGCUAGCGUUGCUCGGAAUCACUGGGCGUAAAGGGUGCGUAGGCGGGUCUUUAAGUCAGGGGUGAAAUCCUGGAGCUCAACUCCAGAACUGCCUUUGAUACUGAAGAUCUUGAGUUCGGGAGAGGUGAGUGGAACUGCGAGUGUAGAGGUGAAAUUCGUAGAUAUUCGCAAGAACACCAGUGGCGAAGGCGGCUCACUGGCCCGAUACUGACGCUGAGGCACGAAAGCGUGGGGAGCAAACAGGAUUAGAUACCCUGGUAGUCCACGCCGU